UCUGUGGGUGGUCCCACCCCACCUGUCAAAGUUGGCACAAGGAAGCAGAGGGAGAUACAGGUAUGGCCAACCAAAAUUAUUCCCUGCACCUAGACCAAAUAAUCAGACCAAAUAUUAUAAGGCAACUUCCUGUGUUCCUAUCGGACUCUGUUCUGCUCUGAAUAACAUCGCUGGGGGGCAACAGAGACCAAAAUACCCCCAGAAGAGGAAACAAUUUGGGUUUUACAGACCAGUUCCAAGCCAGACUAUGGGGAUUCUAUCCAUCACUAGUUGAGAUGGGAGUGCAGACUCUAUACACACAAUCUCUGACUCAUCAAACUGCAGGUUCCCCCAUUAGGCACAUACAACUUGGUAGGCUCGGUUCCCAAGGAAGCAGUGACUGUGUGAAGGCCAGGGGUGGGAACAUCAAGCUCAAUCAGCUCCUAUGCAAUCUUUGUAUGUGCUUCCAGACUGUGUGGAAAGGGAUGGCGUGGGAGGUGAUUCUGCUAGUAUUUUGGGAACUGCGAAGGGAAAACUGGGGAGCAGAUGAAGGAAGUCAAGAUCAAGCCUAUAGUCUCUCUCUGUCUGUCUCAUUUAAUAUUCCUAUGUGUUUUCUUGCAGCUGAACUAAUCUCAAACACUCCUAUUGUUUUGCCCCAGAACCUGAGCAAGACUCUGACAUUUCAAAGAAGUGGACUGACUUGCCACUGCUAGCACAUUAUCACAUAGCAAAUGUAGUGAAACACUAAGGCGCCAGGGCAAUUGUUACCUGCUCCGCGAAGCAUGACAUCAGAGGCCUGCUGAUGCUAUUUGAUCUUCCAGUUCAUGUCUGGCUAAUGCUCAUGGCAUUAAAUAUCACACAAUUCACAGGGACGAGAGCAGAGCAAAACUCCAUUGAGUAGACAUUUCUGCAGAACUCAACUUCUCCCUGUUAUUGACUCUCUGUCCAGAAGCUGGUGUGCGUUGCCUGUACCCAAGUCACUUCCAGAUGACCUGAUUAUUGACCAUUCAUCCUAUUUGGAUUCCUUUGUGGGGAGGUUAUACCACAUGCAGGUCUCAAUCUCUGAACACAAUGCGUUCUCGGGAAAUCAUUUGUUAGGCAAGCGUUUGCAUGACAAAUGGACUGUUUCCCCUGAUUCCUAUGGGGAAAUUUCUAAUACAUUCCCAGUCAUGGAAUUUUCACCAGAGAAAUGUUGGCGGACUUGCUGUCUUCAUCCCUCAACUCUAACGCCAAAACCCUUACAGAUCUCCAUCAGCGGUUCGAGUCUAAUGCCCCAAGCUAGAAGAGCAACACCCCAGGCAAACAAGGAAUUGGGAUUUCUAAGGAAGUCUUUUAAAGCACACUCUUCCCCAGACAAACCACAAACCUCAGUUUUUCCACAGAUGACAAAAAACAGACAGCAGGCCUGUUAGUAUUUAUCAGUGCUGCACUGAAAAUUUCUCCUGCAUUCUCUCCCCCUGCCCCCAAUCCUGGCAAAAAAAACCAAAAAACCCUGCAUUCUCCAUCAAUUAAUGAGAAAAGAAAUUGCAUUGAAAAAUUAACAAUGGGAAGAGGAAAUUCAAGUGAAAUUCUCACGGAUUGGUUACAGGGGUUUCUUCAUGCUUAAUAAUAAUGAUGAUGAUGAUUAUGAUAAUGAUAAUAAUUUAUUAUUUAUACCCUGCCUAUCUGGCUGGGUUUCUCCAGCCACUUUGGGCAGCUCUCAACAG
Molecule: long non-coding RNA, 1685 nt
Filed under: Podarcis lilfordi (Lilford's wall lizard)
Lineage: Eukaryota; Metazoa; Chordata; Lepidosauria; Squamata; Lacertidae
Source: RNAcentral